GCCCGUGUAGCUCAAUUGGUAGAGCAGCUGAUUUGUAAUCAGCAGGUUGCAGGUUCAAGUCCCGUCGCGGGCC
Molecule: transfer RNA, 73 nt
Filed under: Kapaibacterium sp. (SeqCode)
Lineage: Bacteria; Pseudomonadati; Bacteroidota; Eximiradiia; Eximiradiales; Kapaibacteriaceae (SeqCode)
Description: tRNA-Thr
Rfam family: tRNA
About the family: Transfer RNA (tRNA) molecules are approximately 80 nucleotides in length.
Source: RNAcentral